AAGUAAAUAGAAAAAAUAUAUAUAUUAUUCUCAUAUUUGAUUUUAUACAUUUAUACUUGUUAAUCCACAAAUGAUUUUAUUAGAGGUAUUCAAGUAAAUUAGCACAAUAUAUAUUUUUUUUAUGUACAAAGUAUAUAAAUAUACUACCAUGUUGAUUUUUUUCACUUUUUUCCAAUUUAGUCCAUAAUUUUUUUUUCACUAAUUUCAUACAUCUCU
Molecule: long non-coding RNA, 216 nt
Filed under: Physcomitrium patens
Lineage: Eukaryota; Viridiplantae; Streptophyta; Bryopsida; Funariales; Funariaceae
Description: long non-coding RNA (PPAT_LNC012875)
Source: RNAcentral